RNAcentral lists this ribosomal RNA (253 nucleotides) under uncultured Blautia sp. RNAcentral's name for it is "partial 16S ribosomal RNA". It matches the Rfam family "Bacterial small subunit ribosomal RNA", at positions 524 to 776 of the family's 1533-position model. The record is from RNAcentral. Lineage: Bacteria; Bacillati; Bacillota; Clostridia; Lachnospirales; Lachnospiraceae.
UACGUAGGGGGCAAGCGUUAUCCGGAUUUACUGGGUGUAAAGGGGGCGCAGACGGCAAUGCAAGCCAGGAGUGAAAGCCCGGGGCCCAACCCCGGGACUGCAUUUGGAACUGUGCUGCUAGAGUGUCGGAGAGGCAGGCGGAAUUCCUAGUGUAGCGGUGAAAUGCAUAGAUAUUAGGAGGAACACCAGUGGCGAAGGCGGUCUGCUGGACAGCAACUGACGCUGAGGCGCGAAAGCGUGGGGAGCAAACAGG